This 1003-nucleotide long non-coding RNA is filed under the name Anser brachyrhynchus (Pink-footed goose). RNAcentral describes it as "lncRNA (ENSABRG00000012158.1)". Lineage: Eukaryota; Metazoa; Chordata; Aves; Anseriformes; Anatidae. The record is from RNAcentral.
GUUUGCUUUCCUUUCUCUCAAAACGCUCAGCCCCGUUUCCAGCACAGCUGCCCCAGGUUACAGUCACAGGGCUGACCACACUCAGCACUUAUGUGGGUAGGUUUUCUCAUGGCUCAGCAAAAUGGUGACGGUUUCUUGAGAGCAGCAUGUUGCUCUUCCCCUCCCUGAACACAAUCCUUUUCUCUCUCCUUAUGGUUCAUGCCAUUGGGUGUUUUCCUUCAACAUGUUCUAUGGGUUUUUCUUUCAUGGUGUUUUGCAGCGAGAGAGGGAUUUCUCAGGGCUUUUAGAAAUCUGCUGGGGCAGUAGGAGCUUUAUACUGGGAUGUUAGCAGGGAAGCUGAAUCGCAUAAUUCUGCAGUUUGCUGUAAGGAUCAGCCCCGGCACAUGCACCCAGAGCUCUGUGUCCGAUUUAAGGGAUGCGGCCAUGACCGGGGCCGGGUGCGGGGCUCCCAGCGCAGCAGCACCCUGCAGCAGCCGCCUGGGUGCGAGCCUGGCCCCUGUGGUGAACACGAGGCAAGCUGACGUCUCCCAGCCCUCUGCAAGCAGCCUGCAAGCUCCGAGAAGUGUUUCACAUCUGCUGGGAGACGUGACCAUCGCAAGUAUUGACCUCUCCUCCUAUCCUUGAGCCUACUUCUUGCUGCUCUUGACUCUGGAGCGUUCUCUAAUUCAUACGAAGUUAAAGAAAUGAACGGAAACUGCAAUGUAACCUUUCUUUCUCCGGAUGCUGGUGAUGUUUUCUGUGACGUUCUGGCUCUGUGUGUCCCGUCUCUCUGGUGACAGGCGUAAUCCUGAGGACUUGGGAGAUACAGCAAAAGGAAAAUCUAAAGAAAUGACAAAACAAAUUAUGGACAAGCUCAAAUUUCCCUUGUAACCAUAGCCCUGCACUGAAGGGACAAAUUCAGGUUUCUCUUACAGGUUCCCUUUUGCAUCCCUCCCACGGCAUUGCAAGCAAACUCCUUUUGUGACUCAGAAUAAAAUCCUCUUUCUGAAUGUAUUGUUCUUAG